CGUGUAUUAUUUCCAUUGGAUAUUUUGUCAUUGUUGACUUCAUUGUCUCUUUCUAGGGUAUCUUUGAGAAGUUUUUGAAGUGCUGGUUUAGUGGUCAUGAAUUUCUUAGGUGCUCUUUGACAUGGAAAGACCUUAUUUCCCCAUCAAUUUUGAAAGAAAUUGUUUUCUUUUAGGGGUUGAAACACUUCACUUCAAGCUCUCCUGGUCUUUAAGAUGGAACACAAAGCCUUGCAUGUGUUGGGCAAAUGCUCUACCACUGAGAUGGAUUCCCAGGGCAGCAGCAGAAUUCUUUAUUGGCCAAAGUAAGCACAGGAAGCUCUCCCUAACUGGCUUUAUCAGAAUACUUAGUUAUUUCACAGAAACAAUGAAUGCAAUUGCAAAUGAAAAAGUUGAAAUUGCAACAGACACCAUCAAAAUCCAGAAGAGGCUAACUAUUAUGAAAAAUUGUAUUUCAACAAAUUGGACACUCUUGAAAAAUGGGAAGGUUCCUAUACUUACAUAAAUUAUCAAAACUAAAACAAAAAGACAUAAAAAUAUUGAACAACCCAAUAACAAGCAUUGAAAUUGAGGCAGUAGUAAAAACCCAACCAAUUAAAAACAGUCCAGAACCUGAUGGAUUUACUACUGAAUUUCUACAAAACCUUUGAGGACGUUUUAUCACCAAUAUUCCUCAAACUCUUCAAUGAAAUUGAAAGGGACAGAAUGCUUCCAAAUUCAUUUCAGCAUCACUCUGAUCCCAAAAUGAGACAAAGACCUGAAUAAAAAAGAAAACUACAGGCCAAUCUUCUUCUUCUUUUUUUUUUUUUUUGGUACUGGGGAUCGAACUCGGGACCUUGCCAGGCCAAUUUUCUUCUUUUUUUUUUGUAUUAAAUUCUUUUAUUGGUACAUUGUAGGUGUACAACACAAUUACAUUUCUCAUUGGGAAUUGUGCCUUUAUAUAAUGCAUCUUGGUUCUUAUUUUUUCCCCAUUCCUAGCCCUCCCUUCAUGCCCUCCACCCUUCCUAUUUACAAAGAC
This is a long non-coding RNA of Heterocephalus glaber (naked mole-rat), 1015 nucleotides long. The record is from Ensembl. Lineage: Eukaryota; Metazoa; Chordata; Mammalia; Rodentia; Bathyergidae.